AGGGUUUGAUUAUGGCUCAGGAUGAACGCUGGCGGCGUGCUUAACACAUGCAAGUCGAACGAAGCAUCUUCAUUGAUUUUCUUCGGAAAUGAAGUGAUUAUGACUGAGUGGCGGACGGGUGAGUAACGCGUGGAUAACCUGCCUCACACAGGGGGAUAACAGUCAGAAAUGACUGCUAAUACCGCAUAAGCGCACAGUACCGCAUGGUACAGUGUGAAAAGCUCCGGCGGUGUGAGAUGGAUCCGCGUCUGAUUAGGCAGUUGGCGGGGUAGAGGCCCACCAAACCAACGAUCAGUAGCCGGCCUGAGAGGGCGACCGGCCACAUUGGGACUGAGACACGGCCCAG
This 346-nucleotide ribosomal RNA is filed under the name uncultured bacterium. Its description in RNAcentral is "bacterial SSU rRNA". It matches the Rfam family "Bacterial small subunit ribosomal RNA", at positions 8 to 334 of the family's 1533-position model. The record is from RNAcentral.